CAAUAGCGUAUAUUAAAGUUGUUGCGGUUAAAAAGCUCGUAGUUGGAUUUCUGUGGUAGGCAGCCGGUCCGCACUAUGUGCGAGUAUCUGGUUCGGCUACUGCAUCCUCCUGAAGAACGUUGGCGCGCUUCACUGCGUGGCACGGUAUUCAGGACUUUUACUUUGAGGAAAUUAGAGUGUUCACGGCAGGCGCUUGCCCUGAAUAUAUUAGCAUGGAAUAAUGAUAUAGGAUCCAGGUCCUAUUUUGUUGGUUUCUAGGACCAGGAUAAUGGUUAAUAGGGAUAGUUGGGGGCGAUUCGUAUUUAACUUGUCAGAGGUGAAAUUCUUGGAUUUGUUAAAGAACGGACUACUGCGAAAGACAUUUGCCAAGGAUGUUUUCAUUGAUCAAGAACG
RNAcentral lists this ribosomal RNA (393 nucleotides) under uncultured eukaryote. RNAcentral's name for it is "bacterial SSU rRNA". It matches the Rfam family "Eukaryotic small subunit ribosomal RNA", at positions 592 to 985 of the family's 1831-position model. The record is from RNAcentral.